This 395-nucleotide ribosomal RNA is filed under the name uncultured bacterium. RNAcentral describes it as "partial 16S ribosomal RNA". It matches the Rfam family "Bacterial small subunit ribosomal RNA", at positions 523 to 918 of the family's 1533-position model. The record is from RNAcentral.
AUACGUAGGGUGCAAGCGUUAAUCGGAAUUACUGGGCGUAAAGCGUGCGCAGGCGGUUUUGUAAGACAGAGGUGAAAUCCCCGGGCUCAACCCGGGAACUGCCUUUUUGACUGCAAGGCUAGAGUACGGCAGAGGGGGAUGGAAUUCCGCGUGUAGCAGGGAAAUGCGUAGAUAUGCGGAGGAAAACCGAUGGCGAAGGCAAUCCCCUGGGCCUGUACUGACGCUCAUGCACGAAAGCGUGGGGAGCAAACAGGAUUUGAUACCCUGGUAGUCCACGCCCUAAACGAUGUCAACUGGUUGUUGGGUCUUCAUUGACUCAGUAACGAAGCUAACGCGUGAAGUUGACCGCCUGGGGAGUACGGCCGCAAGGUUGAAACUCAAAGGAAUUGACGGGG